GAUGAAGAACGCAGCGAAAUGCGAUACUUGGUGUGAAUUGCAGAAUCCCGUGAACCAUCGAGUCUUUGAACGCAAGUUGCGCCCGAAGCCAUCAGGUUGAGGGCACGUCUGCCUGGGCGUCACAUAUCGUUGCCCAAUGCCUAUUGCAGUGCAAUAGGAAUUUCUAGGGCGAAUGAUGGCUUCCCGUGAGCGUUGUUGCCUCGCGGUUGGUUGAAAAUCGAGUCCUUGGUAGGGUGUGCCAUGGUAGAUGGUGGUCGAGUUAGAACGAUACCGAUCAUGUGCAUGCUCACCAAAAUAUGGCCUCUAUGACCCACACGCGUCUUUUGACGCUCAUGACGAGACCUCAGGUCAGGCGGGGCUACCCGCUGAAUUUAAGCAUAUCAAUAAGCGGAGGA
Molecule: unclassified non-coding RNA, 395 nt
Filed under: soil metagenome
Description: partial contains 5.8S ribosomal RNA, internal transcribed spacer 2, and large subunit ribosomal RNA
Rfam family: 5.8S ribosomal RNA (bases 1-122)
Source: RNAcentral